This 496-nucleotide ribosomal RNA is filed under the name uncultured bacterium. RNAcentral's name for it is "partial 16S ribosomal RNA". It matches the Rfam family "Bacterial small subunit ribosomal RNA", at positions 28 to 507 of the family's 1533-position model. The record is from RNAcentral.
GAUGAACGCUGGCGGCGUGCCUAAUACAUGCAAGUCGAGCGAACGGACGAGAAGCUUGCUUUUCUGAUGUUAGCGGCGGACGGGUGAGUAACACGUGGAUAACCUACCUAUAAGACUGGGAUAACUUCGGGAAACCGGAGCUAAUACCGGAUAAUAUUUUGAACCGCAUGGUUCAAAAGUGAAAGACGGUCUUGCUGUCACUUAUAGAUGGAUCCGCGCUGCAUUAGCUAGUUGGUAAGGUAACGGCUUACCAAGGCAACGAUGCAUAGCCGACCUGAGAGGGUGAUCGGCCACCCUGGAACUGAGACACGGUCCAGACUCUACGGGAGGCAGCAGUAGGGAAUCUUCCGCAAUGGGCGAAAGCCUGACGGAGCAACGCCGCGUGAGUGAUGAAGGUCUUCGGAUCGUAAAACUCUGUUAUUAGGGAAGAACAUAUGUGUAAGUAACUGUGCACAUCUUGACGGUACCUAAUCAGAAAGCCACGGCUAACUACGUG